ACAACCGUGCCGGCUGCGAUUGUGGCCGCUGCGGGAGUCGGUGAUUGAGCUUCUUUCAUGGGGAGCCCGAGCAAACGGUGCGCCGUGUCGUGUUCAUUUAGCAUUGGCUAUGCAAUCGGUGCCUAUUUGGCGACGAGCGUGCAGUCGGUGCGUGUGGGAACAGGUUUGAUCACGGCAUGGCAAGCAGUUUGGGAUGGCAAACCGUGGGGCGGUGAAGUUGCCGCAUCUACGUGCCUAACGGGGCGUGCUUGGGCGUUUUGGGCGCUGUUUGUUGCAUUAUGAAGCAGCGAAUGGCGGCCAUUUCGUCUGGGCAUCGUGUACGUAUGGUGCGUGAGUGGUGGUUGGCUUGUUUGGGCACGUUGGAUCCCUGCUUGGGCAGCGACGGCGCGCCUUGCUAGCCUUUUCAGCUGGCGGCCCAAGUGCGUAUUAGCCUUGGCCGAUCUCGGUUUCCUGUGUUGCAUACCUAUUGCGAAGGCAUUGAAUCGGUUAAAGACGUCCCCUUUCCGCCUUGUGCUCGGCCUCUUGGGGCCGCGGCGCCGGGUGGACCGCAAAACACUUGCCGUGUUCCACUUCCCGUGCGUUCCCACAUGGGGCGCCGGGUUGAUGGCCCAUGGCAUCGUGCUCGAUCUCUUGGGUGCUGAAAAUCGUGUGGGCACGAGGCCCCCGGCCCCUAUUUGCCCCGAAGCAAAGCGUUCUACGCUUCGUGCGAACGACGACCGUUGCCGCUUUGAUCGAGUCCUCGUGGCUCCGAUCACGCGGUGCCGGCGCCGAUGAGGAAUGCU
This 782-nucleotide unclassified non-coding RNA is filed under the name Cuspidaria floribunda. RNAcentral's name for it is "partial external transcribed spacer". The record is from RNAcentral. Lineage: Eukaryota; Viridiplantae; Streptophyta; Magnoliopsida; Lamiales; Bignoniaceae.